Long non-coding RNA from Acinonyx jubatus (cheetah), 448 nucleotides. RefSeq lists it as uncharacterized. The record is from RefSeq and is a predicted model, not a curated record. The transcript is spliced from 4 exons. NCBI's taxonomy places the organism in Eukaryota, Metazoa, Chordata, Mammalia, Carnivora, Felidae.
AUUAGGUACACUUAAAUAUGAUAUUGUUUUUGUUCCCUCAGAGACCUCAGAACAAACAAACCAUGCCAACAUCUUGAUUUUGGACUUCUAAAUCUCCCAAAUGAGAUAUGCAACAAUAUGUGAAGAUCCAGCCAAGUCAUUGGAAACUUCUUCCAACUCAGCAAGGUGCUCUAUCAACUGAAAAUCAAAAGCUUAACUGUCUCAUGAAAGUUAACAUAAGGUUAUAAAUGAGAUAGAAGGUCAGUUGAGCUUUAUGGAGGUUACCUGAAAUGUGAUAGUGCAACAGAGUGCAGAAGCAGGUAAGAUAAGCCAGCUCUCUUCUAUUAAAUUAGGAUCAAAGAAAUUUGCAAAAAUAUUAGACUACACCAUUCCCAUUGUUUUUUGUUGUUUCAGAAAAUAAAGUUAGGAUUUUAUUUAAAAAUAUAUCAACGUGUAAUGGGUUUAUUAU